RNAcentral lists this non-coding RNA (113 nucleotides) under Tenacibaculum maritimum. RNAcentral's name for it is "SAM". It matches the Rfam family "SAM riboswitch aptamer (S box leader)". Rfam says of the family: The SAM riboswitch is found upstream of a number of genes which code for proteins involved in methionine or cysteine biosynthesis in Gram-positive bacteria. The SAM riboswitch acts at the level of transcription termination control. The predicted structure consists of a complex stem-loop region followed by a single stem loop terminator region. Lineage: Bacteria; Pseudomonadati; Bacteroidota; Flavobacteriia; Flavobacteriales; Flavobacteriaceae. The record is from RNAcentral.
AUGUUAUCAAGAAAGGUGGAGGGAUUAGACCCUAUGAAACCUUAGCAACCCUUUGUUUAUUUAUACAAAGAAGGUGCUACAUUCUACCGCAUUAUAUUGCGGAGAGAUAACGA